UCCUCCUUAGCUCAGUUGGUUAGAGCAUCUGACUGUUAAUCAGAGGGUCCUUGGUUCGAGCCCAAGAGGAGGAGCGA
RNAcentral lists this transfer RNA (77 nucleotides) under Chryseobacterium glaciei. RNAcentral describes it as "tRNA-Asn". It matches the Rfam family "tRNA". From Rfam's summary of the family: Transfer RNA (tRNA) molecules are approximately 80 nucleotides in length. The record is from RNAcentral. RNAcentral also lists the same sequence under 3 other names. Lineage: Bacteria; Pseudomonadati; Bacteroidota; Flavobacteriia; Flavobacteriales; Weeksellaceae.